CAGGCUUAACACAUGCAAGUCGAGGGGCAGCAUGGUCUUAGCUUGCUAAGGCCGAUGGCGACCGGCGCACGGGUGAGUAACACGUAUCCAACCUGCCGUCUACUCUUGGACAGCCUUCUGAAAGGAAGAUUAAUACAAGAUGGCAUCAUGAGUCCGCAUGUUCACAUGAUUAAAGGUAUUCCGGUAGACGAUGGGGAUGCGUUCCAUUAGAUAGUAGGCGGGGUAACGGCCCACAUAGUCUUCGAUGGAUAGGGGUUCUGAGAGGAAGGUCCCCCACAUUGGAACUGAGACACGGUCCAAACUCCUACGGGAGGCAGCAGUGAGGAAUAUUGGUCAAUGGGCGAGAGCCUGAACCAGCCAAGUAGCGUGAAGGAUGACUGCCCUAUGGGUUGUAAACUUCUUUUAUAAAGGAAUAAAGUCGGGUAUGGAUACCCGUUUGCAUGUACUUUAUGAAUAAGGAUCGGCUAACUCCGUGCCAGCAGCCGCGGUAAUACGGAGGAUCCGAGCGUUAUCCGGAUUUAUUGGGUUUAAAGGGAGCGUAGAUGGAUGUUUAAGUCAGUUGUGAAAGUUUGCGGCUCAACCGUAAAAUUGCAGUUGAUACUGGAUAUCUUGAGUGCAGUUGAGGCAGGCGGAAUUCGUGGUGUAGCGGUGAAAUGCUUAGAUAUCACGAAGAACUCCGAUUGCGAAGGCAGCCUGCUAAGCUGCAACUGACAUUGAGGCUCGAAAGUGUGGGUAUCAAACAGGAUUAGAUACCCUGGUAGUCCACACGGUAAACGAUGAAUACUCGCUGUUUGCGAUAUACUGCAAGCGGCCAAGCGAAAGCGUUAAGUAUUCCACCUGGGGAGUACGCCGGCAACGGUGAAACUCAAAGGAAUUGACGGGGGCUCGCACAAGCGGAGGAACAUGUGGUUUAAUUCGAUGAUACGCGAGGAACCUUACCCGGGCUUAAAUUGCAGAUGAAUUACGGUGAAAGCCGUAAGCCGCAAGGCAUCUGUGAAGGUGCUGCAUGGUUGUCGUCAGCUCGUGCCGUGAGGUGUCGGCUUAAGUGCCAUAACGAGCGCAACCCUUGUUGUCAGUUACUAACAGGUUCCGCUGAGGACUCUGACAAGACUGCCAUCGUAAGAUGUGAGGAAGGUGGGGAUGACGUCAAAUCAGCACGGCCCUUACGUCCGGGGCUACACACGUGUUACAAUGGGGGGUACAGAGGGCCGCUACCACGCGAGUGGAUGCCAAUCCCCAAAACCUCUCUCAGUUCGGACUGGAGUCUGCAACCCGACUCCACGAAGCUGGAUUCGCUAGUAAUCGCGCAUCAGCCACGGCGCGGUGAAUACGUUCCCGGGCCUUGUACACACCGCCCGUCAAGCCAUGGGAGCCGGGGGUACCUGAAGUGCGUAACCGCGAGGAGCGCCCUAGGGUAAAACUGGUGACUGGGGC
Molecule: ribosomal RNA, 1434 nt
Filed under: uncultured organism
Description: 16S ribosomal RNA
Rfam family: Bacterial small subunit ribosomal RNA
Source: RNAcentral